This 421-nucleotide ribosomal RNA is filed under the name uncultured Glomeraceae. RNAcentral's name for it is "SSU rRNA". It matches the Rfam family "Eukaryotic small subunit ribosomal RNA", at positions 459 to 886 of the family's 1831-position model. The record is from RNAcentral. Lineage: Eukaryota; Fungi; Glomeromycota; Glomeromycetes; Glomerales; Glomeraceae.
GGGAGGUAGUGACAAUAAAUAACAAUACGGGGUCCUUUCGGGUUUCGUAAUUGGAAUGAGUACAAUUUAAAUCUCUUAACGAGGAACAAUUGGAGGGCAAGUCUGGUGCCAGCAGCCGCGGUAAUUCCAGCUCCAAUAGCGUAUAUUAAAGUUGUUGCAGUUAAAAAGCUCGUAGUUGAAUUUCGGGAUUAGUACGCUGGUCGUGCCUUCGGUACGUACUGGUGUUACUGAUUCCUACCUUCUGACGAACCAUCAUGUCAUUAGUUUGGUGUGGUGGGGAAUCAGGACUGUUACUUUGAAAAAUUAGAGUGUUUAAAGCAGGCUCGCGCUUGAAUACAUUAGCAUGGAAUAAUGAAAUAGGACGUUGAUCCUAUUUUGUUGGUUUCUAGGAUUGACGUAAUGAUUAAUAGGGAUAGUUGGG